UAUUAGUAUUUUUUUUUUGAAACUUCCAUGGUCUCUAACUGAUGGAGGUGCUCUAAAGAGAUUGUGUACUCUACAAAAGUACUUAAACAUAGCAAAAUAAUGAGUUAUAAAAAUCAGCAUGGUGGAUUUAAAAAUACUAAGGAACUUUCUCCCUUAAACUGUUUUUCUCUGGCCUGGAUCUUCCUUCACCGCCGUGAGGAAUGUAGGAGCACACAGAUUCCUCAGACCUGCGAGACAGCGAAUCGUUUACAGGAUGCAGCGCUAUUUAUCUUAGAUUUUAAAAGAUUUCAAUAAUAUUUUGCCGUAUUUAGAAUUAAAAUCGAGUUAUUUAAAUUACAAUUACUUUAGAUUAUGAAGUUCAGGUUUCUGUUUAGGCAAACAUAACUAUAUAUAUAUGACUUAGUCUGUCCUUUUCUAAAAUUUUCUAUAUAUUGUUACAUUUUCAGUGUCCUAAAUCCUAAUUAUACUUCUGCAACUAUGCUUGUCUGUAACCAAAAAAAAAUUUUACUUGUCGACGUAGACGUGUGUGGGUGAAAAAUGAAAUUUCUGUUUCUGCAAUAACUGUUUCUCAAAAGAAUGUUAACAUCAGUCAGAUUUCAGAUCUCUGGUACCACGAAAAUAAAAAUACAAAACUAGAAGCGACUGAAUUGAUCAAUUCGAUGGUACACGCAACAAAUGACCAAAAUUUUAAAUAGACUCGAGUUCUCAUGGGAACCAUGCCAUAUUACCAUACACUUUCUAUCUUAAAAUGGUCCAAUUCUAUAUCUGUUAUUAUGAAAAAUAAUAAUGAAAUAAAAAUAAUAGUUUUUAAAAUAUGAAAUUAGACACAUUUCUUGCGUUCAUGUCAUUUCUGGCGAGCUCCCUUUGGAUGGCCUACGGUUUACUCAGCCAUGAUCUCUUUCUUGCGUCACGUACGUAAUAUGCUGGGAACCCCAUUGGGAUGCUCCAACUUAUACUCUACUUUAAGUACAAGGACAAGGAGGCACCGAUUACAACAAUGGUGAUGAUCAAAUGGGAUAAUGAGAAGAACGAGUGCUCACUUGAGUUUGUACUUGAUGUUGGUAAUGAUGGUGAUGCCAAUGAGAAGAAGUUCAACAAUGCAUGUUAGUUAGUUUUCAACGUCAUUAAUGUAAAUUUUCUUGGAUGUGUGUCCCCCAGUAACUUCUUGUGAAUCCAGAGAUUUUUAUGUAAACUUCAAGGUCUCGUGGGUUGGGCUUGAUGUUACAUCUCAAUUGUAUCAUGUGAAUAAAACAAGAAGAGUUUUUGUUAUC
Molecule: long non-coding RNA, 1271 nt
Organism: Brassica napus (rape)
Lineage: Eukaryota; Viridiplantae; Streptophyta; Magnoliopsida; Brassicales; Brassicaceae
Exons: 2
Source: RefSeq, a predicted model, not a curated record